This 253-nucleotide ribosomal RNA is filed under the name uncultured bacterium. RNAcentral's name for it is "partial 16S ribosomal RNA". It matches the Rfam family "Bacterial small subunit ribosomal RNA", at positions 524 to 776 of the family's 1533-position model. The record is from RNAcentral.
UACGAACUGUGCGAAUGUUAUUCGGAAUCACUGGGCUUACAGGGUGCGUAGGCGGCUCAACAAGUCAGGUGUGAAAGCCCCCGGCUCAACCGGGGAACUGCGCUUGAAACUGUUAGGCUCGAGUCAGCUAGAGGUACACGGAACUUCCAGUGGAGCGGUGAAAUGUGUUGAUAUUGGAAGGAACACCGGAGGCGAAAGCGGUGUACUGGGGCUGGUCUGACGCUGAGGCACGAAAGCCAGGGGAGCGAACGGG